RNAcentral lists this ribosomal RNA (429 nucleotides) under Gemmatimonadota bacterium. RNAcentral describes it as "Gemmatimonadetes bacterium partial 16S ribosomal RNA". It matches the Rfam family "Bacterial small subunit ribosomal RNA", at positions 355 to 776 of the family's 1533-position model. The record is from RNAcentral. Lineage: Bacteria; Pseudomonadati; Gemmatimonadota.
UAGGGAAUCUUCGGCAAUGGACGAAAGCCUGACCGAGCAACGCCGCGUGAGUGAAGAAGGUUUUCGGAUCGUAAAACUCUGUUGUUAGAGAAGAACAAGUACGUUAGUAACUGAACGUCCCCUGACGGUAUCUAACCAGAAAGCCACGGCUAACUACGUGCCAGCAGCCGCGGUAAUACGUUGGUGGCAGGCGUUGUCCGGAUUUAUUGGGCGUAAAGCGAGCGCAGGCGGUUUCUUAAGUCUGAUGUGAAAGCCCCCGGCUCAACCGGGGAGGGUCAUUGGAAGCUGGGAGAAUUGAGUGCAGAAGAGGAGAGUGGAAUUCCAUGUGUAGCGGUGAAAUGCGUAGAUAUAUGGAGGAACACCAGUGGCGAAGGCGGCUCUCUGGUCUGUAACUGACGCUGAGGCUCGAGAGCGUGGGGAGCAAACAGG